AGCGAACGCUGGCGGCAGGCCUAACACAUGCAAGUCGAACGGAUCCUUCGGGAUUAGUGGCGGACGGGUGAGUAACACGUGGGAACGUGCCCUUUGGUUCGGAACAACUCAGGGAAACUUGAGCUAAUACCGGAUGUGCCCUUCGGGGGAAAGAUUUAUCGCCAUUGGAGCGGCCCGCGUCUGAUUAGCUAGUUGGUGAGGUAACGGCCCACCAAGGCGACGAUCAGUAGCUGGUCUGAGAGGAUGAUCAGCCACACUGGGACUGAGACACGGCCCAGACUCCUACGGGAGGCAGCAGUGGGUAAUCUUGCGCAAUGGGCGAAAGCCUGACGCAGCCAUGCCGCGUGAAUGAUGAAGGUCUUAGGAUUGUAAAAUUCUUUCAGCGGGGACGUUAAUGACGGUACCCGCAGAAGAAGCUCCGGCUAACUUCGUG
RNAcentral lists this ribosomal RNA (433 nucleotides) under uncultured bacterium. Its description in RNAcentral is "partial 16S ribosomal RNA". It matches the Rfam family "Bacterial small subunit ribosomal RNA", at positions 29 to 507 of the family's 1533-position model. The record is from RNAcentral.